RNAcentral lists this long non-coding RNA (1378 nucleotides) under Equus caballus (horse). Its description in RNAcentral is "lncRNA (ENSECAG00000048256.1)". Lineage: Eukaryota; Metazoa; Chordata; Mammalia; Perissodactyla; Equidae. The record is from RNAcentral.
AGACAAGUACAAGAAAACUGUUAGGCCUGGGAGGGUCUUUGCAGAACCUUGGUGUCUUAAUUCCCAGCACCUUAUUCUUGCUGAGGCAGGCUCCUACCACACCUAAUGUUCAUUUGCGAGUUCAGCCCUUCCAGGAUUAAAGCUGACCUCACAAUAAUGUCUCUGGGUCCAGCCUCCUCCUUGAGCUACUUGAAAACUUUUGAUGCUCCAACUCAAACCCGAUUCUCAAACCUUCAUUAGCUAAAGUCUCACUGGACUCCAGCUUUAGGAGAAAUAAUCAAGACAUCAUUCCCUGGUCUAUGCUAAACUCUUCACACACAUUUUUUUUUUAUCUUUCUAACAACCUGGGAGGUAACGCUAUUGUCAUAGGAGAGAAAACUGAUGCUCAGAGAGGAAAAUCAGAAGCUGUAUGGAGCUGCUUCAAGAAUUUGAAUCAUCAAAGAUAUAAUCGAGUCCCCACCACCGACUAGCCGGCAAAAAAAAAAAAAAGGCCUCUAAUACAUUCGACAGGCGUGCCGGCCUCUGGAAGGAAAGCGACCCCAAUAGCCCUCAGAAGAGCAGACCCAAAGCAGAACAGCGAUCCCAAUUCCCUGACUUACUAACUGCAACUAUGAGCGAGUUAAUUGAGCCCUCGUAGCCCCUUAGUCUCUUCACCUGUAAAAAUGAGUGGGGAGGAGGGCGUGGUGACAAUAACCUGCUCAGAGGGUCAUUGAGAGCGAGCCCCGCGCGCGCGCACGUGGUCGGGACGGGGGCGCGGCCGGUUGGGCACAGCGGGUCCCGCUCACCCGCUGGGUUUUUGAAGCGCUCUCAGAGGCGUCUUCCUCCUGACCCCGGUUCCGAAGAGGCGUCACUCGCCAACGCAUCUGCCCGACUGGGGUUUUCGACGGAGAGAAGCUGCGUCACGUAGAGACGUGGGCAGAUGGCGUCAGGGGACAGACGUGGGACAAAGAGAAAGUUGUGGCGUAUUUGCCCUUCUGGUUCAUGAGAUACGGGCGAGGGGCAGUGGACACGAGGGUGUGUUUCCGAUGGUUGUGGGUGGGAGGAAUUGCUUUUUUUAAAUCCAGAUAUAUACAGUGCUCCUUCACCCCCUAAACUUGGUGGAUUUUUCUUUUUUCUUUGCUUUUCUCAACCACAGCGCUUGCCCCCCAGCGGCCUCGCGUCGGACUGAAGCCAGGCAAAGGGAGGGGGAUGAUCUGGCAUGGGUGGUCCCUAUUCAGGGAGCACCAGGCCGGCUGCUGGAUGGAGAACGUGGCGGGGCUUGGGGCAGCGGCGCAUCCCCGCCAGUCAUGGAAAGCCUUGAGCGACUCCCAGACGGUCUCUGGGGAGAAGGCUGGCCGCCUCCGUGGGCGCUGGGAGUGCGGGCGAGGCCGGGAAGGGC